CAAUAGCGUAUAUUUAAGUUGUUGCAGUUAAAAAGCUCGUAGUUGGAUUUCGGUUAAGAGCGACCGGUCCGCCGUUUGGUGUGCACUGGUUGGUUUUAACUUCCUGUAGAGGACGUGCUCUGGGUUUAACGACCUGGACUCGGAGUCUACGUGGUUACUUUGAAAAAUUAGAGUGUUCAAAGCGGGCUUACGCUUGAAUAUUUCAGCAUGGAAUAACACUAUAGGACUCCUGUCCUAUUUCGUUGGUCUCGGGACGGGAGUAAUGAUUAAGAGGAACAGUUGGGGGCAUUCGUAUUUCAUUGUCAGAGGUGAAAUUCUUGGAUUUAUGAAAGACGAACUUCUGCGAAAGCAUUUGCCAAGGAUGUUUUCAUUAA
Molecule: ribosomal RNA, 374 nt
Filed under: uncultured eukaryote
Lineage: Eukaryota
Description: partial 18S ribosomal RNA
Rfam family: Eukaryotic small subunit ribosomal RNA
Source: RNAcentral